RNAcentral lists this ribosomal RNA (253 nucleotides) under uncultured bacterium. RNAcentral describes it as "partial 16S ribosomal RNA". It matches the Rfam family "Bacterial small subunit ribosomal RNA", at positions 524 to 776 of the family's 1533-position model. The record is from RNAcentral.
UACGUAGGGGGCAAGCGUUGUCCGGAAUCAUUGGGCGUAAAGAGCGUGUAGGCGGCCCGGUAAGUCCGCUGUGAAAGUCCAGGGCUCAACCCUGGAAUGCCGGUGGAUACUGUCGGGCUAGAGUCCGGAAGAGGCGAGUGGAAUUCCUGGUGUAGCGGUGAAAUGCGCAGAUAUCAGGAGGAACACCGACGGCGAAGGCAGCUCGCUGGGACGGUACUGACGCUGAGACGCGAAAGCGUGGGGAGCAAACAGG